This 468-nucleotide ribosomal RNA is filed under the name uncultured bacterium. RNAcentral's name for it is "partial 16S ribosomal RNA". It matches the Rfam family "Bacterial small subunit ribosomal RNA", at positions 28 to 507 of the family's 1533-position model. The record is from RNAcentral.
GACGAACGCUGGCGGCGUGCUUAACACAUGCAAGUCGAACGGAAAGGCCCUGCUUUUGUGGGGUGCUCGAGUGGCGAACGGGUGAGUAACACGUGAGUAACCUGCCCUUGACUUUGGGAUAACUUCAGGAAACUGGGGCUAAUACCGGAUAGGAGCUCCUGCUGCAUGGUGGGGGUUGGAAAGUUUCGGCGGUUGGGGAUGGACUCGCGGCUUAUCAGCUUGUUGGUGGGGUAGUGGCUUACCAAGGCUUUGACGGGUAGCCGGCCUGAGAGGGUGACCGGCCACAGUGGGACUGAGAUACGGCCCAGACUCCUACGGGAGGCAGCAGUGGAGAAUAUUGCACAAUGGGCGGAAGCCUGAUGCAGCAACGCCGCGUGCGGGAUGACGGCCUUCGGGUUGUAAGCCGCUUUCGCCUGUGACGAAGCGUGAGUGACGGUAAUGGGUAAAGAAGCACCGGCUAACUACGUG